AAAAAAAAAAAAAAAAAGGAGUGUUAGAUCAUAAUCAAAAGUUUACAAACAAAACAAAGGCAUUGUAAUCUAGACGGGUGAUCACCAAUAGACCAGAAAAACGACUCCCUUUUGUUCAAAUGUCACUCUCACUGCUGGACAGCUAGGGUUCCUUGUCAAAUGGGGCCUAAUUGUUGGCCACUACCAAAGUUUAUUAAAAUGCGAGCAUGAUUGACAUUAUUGGUAUCAAGAAGUACAGUGUGAGAGAAAUCUUACUCUAACCAAGUAAAGUUGAAUUUGAUGUUUCACAAUUAUGGCACUGGAGUUUAUUGGUGGAACACUGUUUACGCUGCUCUACGAUGGCGUCAAGCAUGCGAUGAGCAAGAGUGGGACGUUUAAAACCCUUCUCGGAGGCCUCAAAUCCACGCUAGACUCUUUAGAACCAAGAGACAUCCAACAGAUUGGAGAGCAUAACGUCGAAUUGGGUCUCCCAAACGAGGAAAUUGAAAGUCUUCAAAUGCAAAUGGAGGAUGGUGUGAAGCUUGUUGGCAAGUUGUCCAACUUUCGCAUGUGGAACUACUGCUGCUUGGAUGAUUACGCUCAACAAAUUGUUGAGUUGGAUAGGGCUCUUAAAAGAUUGUUAAUAAAAUUGAAGAUGCAGGAAGCAAGGAUGUGAAGGAGGUCUUGGUUUUGUCGAGGCAAAACCGGGACAAACCUGAUGAAGUCAAUAGAAGAUUGUUGGAUAUACGGAAGUUACUGCAGCAGAGAGCGGGGGAUGCCGUGGAAGACUUCAGAAUACCCCCACCCGAGUUGAUAGGCCGGACAUGAAAUCGGUGGAAGAGCAGUUGUGGACAAUAAGGGGAGACUACCUUAGAAGUGUCAAGAGAGGGCAGUAGUAUAAAUAAUGUGAGAGACAUCUUCCCCCUUAUUCGACCUUAAAAAUCUACUCAGAUGGGCCUCCAAGAAGUUGAAUGAAGGGAAGGUGGCGGAAUUGGUUGAUCCUUUGAUGAAGGAAACUAUAGACGCAGAGGUUCUGAUGAAAAUCUUCCAUUUGGCGUUCCACUGUGCAGCCCCCACCCGAGUUGAUCGGCCGGUCAUGACAUCGGUGGGAGAGCGGUUGUGGACAAUAAGGGGGGACAACCUUAGAAAGUGUCAAGAGAGGGCAGUAGUAUAAAUAAUGUGAGAGACAUCUUCCCCCUUAUUGGACCUUACCCUGUAAAAAAAAUUUGGUCACAAGACACGAGUUUGCUUUUCAGUUUGGCCAUUUUUUUUACGCGAAAUCAUUUUGCAACCUUGAAAGCAAACACAUCUGUAUUUAAAUGUUUGGCAUGAUUUUCCAGUGUGCUUAUGUGUAGCUGUAAUUUUUA
This is a non-coding RNA of Malus domestica (apple), 1346 nucleotides long. The record is from RefSeq and is a predicted model, not a curated record. NCBI's taxonomy places the organism in Eukaryota, Viridiplantae, Streptophyta, Magnoliopsida, Rosales, Rosaceae.